GUCAAAGCUCGCUGUAGAAGCAUGAGGCAGAGCUGACCACGUUGCUCCCACAGAAAGAGAGGGGUGUUCACGCUCAGCUGUCUUCCUCCCUUUUGUGCAGCCCGCACCCCCGCCCUGGAAAUCAUUUGGUCUUCCUUUUAGGGUUUCAGAUGCUCAAGUCAGGCCCAGCGUCCUGAAUUAAAUGUCGACCUCUCAGCUACCUCUGCAGCACCAUGUGUGCCUGCAUGGCACCAUGCUUCCCAUUACGACGAUAAUGGACUAAACCUCGGAACUGUAAGCCCUCCCUAAUUAAAUGUUUUCCUUUGUAAGAAUGGUGAUGAUGUCUCUUCACAGGAGUAGAAAUCCAAACUAAGAUCCCAUCAUAGCAGGCCAUAGAAAAAUUCAAAUGCAUAUCCUAGUAAGAGCACCAGUGGAAGGAGAAGCCCUGGGUCCUGCUAAGACUGAACCCCCAGUGAACUAGACUGGUGGGGGGAGGGCGGCAAUGGGGGGAGGGUUGGGAGGGGAACACCCAUAAGGAAGGGGAGGGGGGAGGGGGAUGUUUGCCCGGAUACCGGGAAAGGGAAUAACAUUCGAAAUGUAUAUAAGAAAUACUCAAGUUAAUAAAAAAAAAAAAAAGAAAAAUUCAAAUGCAUCUGAGACAUUCUGGUUUGGUCACGAAGCCUCUCCUUCAGUGGUUCUCCUUUCCAAGCUGAAAAUGACUGACCGUCUAUUGUCAAUUAAUACAGGGUUAUUUUCUUCGGUUCGGGGAAGUACCAUUCAAAUGCGGUGUGAGUGGGGUUUAUGCUCAAGUAGCAAGGAAAUAGAACGCCGGAUAGAAUUCUUGGUCCAGUUAACGCCCUGAAGAGAAAAUUUUCAUUUGAGGCAUCUACGAUUGUUGCUACAGGAGUGGUCAGAGCACAUGUUCUGGGAUGCACAUUUCAGAGGGAACGGCUAUUAGAAACCUGGGAUAUCCUCGGAUGCAUAUCCUACAAAAACCUGCUUCUCCUCAAAGACAGAAAAAACCAGGCCAUUCCCAUUCAGCCUCAUUACCCUUUCGCAAGUUUUUUUUUUUUUCCCUCCUUAAUCUUUAAAGGUCACGGGCAAAGGGGUAGUCUGUUCCGUAGCUGUUUGGUACAAUCAGGAGACUGUCCAGAUGGUUUCUAGCGAGACAUAAAAAUCUCGCUAAAUGCUAUAUAUGGGCCCAAUUCUUUCCUCAAUGUACCAGAGAAAAGCAGACACGACUUAGGUAGGAUAAACCUGACUACUUUGCCAAAGAAACUGGUCAUGGGGUGAUUGGUCUGAAAUUGUGAAUGGCUUCGCUUGGAUGCUAAGACCAAGCCACGCCUUACUCUGACGUGUACACCGUAUUGUACAAAAUAGUGUUGUUCUUUACAAGAUGGUGGGUGGUGAUUCUCAACCCCCUUUGGGGGUUGCAUAUCAAAUGAUAUCCUGCAUAUCAGAUACUUACAUUAGGAUUCCUAACAGGAGCAAAAUUACAAAAUUAUGAAGGAACAACAAAAUAUUUGUAUGGGCCCCCCCUCCGAUAUUUAAUUCCCCAAUCAACAUUUUGUUUUGAUUUUAAUUUAUUUAGUUUUAAUGGGCGGUCACCACAACAGGAGGAAGUUUUAAAAGGUCAAAGCAUUAGAAAGGUUGAGAACCAUUGCUCUAGGAGAUUUUAUUUUACAAGCAGUUUUUUAUUUACUCCAUGUUGAGGAAGAAGGAUGGCUGUGGCCCUUGCAUGGACCAAGGAAGUGUACCCCAUCUGUCAGGCAGCCCUAUCCAGCAGACCGACAAAUGACCUGUUUGGGGGGACUAGAAAGGGAGCCACCCGGUAAGUUUAUUGGGGGCAUUAAAACUAAAUAAAUUAAAAUUAAAACAGAAAAAAUUUAUUGGGGAAUUAAAUAUUGGAGGGGGCACAUGAAAAUCUUACUGGGGAAGGAAACCACACCCAAGAAUUUAAUGGGUACACCAGAUCAAGGAGAAAAUAUAAGUUUAUUGUCUGGCCCCCUUAAAGAGAUAGCCACUUAACCAACUUAUCAUUGAUACCUGCAUGUCUGAGGCAAGGGCCCAAGACUCCUCCUCUCAGACUCUACUUGUUCCCCUGCUGUCGUUAGAGCCUGCCCAUCCACCUGUUGGACCAUCUGGACCCGGUCCUGCCCCGCUGUUUCCUGCUCUUGACUCAUUUCCUGCUCUGGACCCAGUUUGACCUUUCACCCCCUCACAGCUUAAUUAUGCAGCUUUGUUCUCUGACUUUGACUUGCCCCAGCAGUGCCCUCCUGGAGCUGGGUUAUUAUCUUAUCUGUACAGACUCCUUCUCAGCCCACUUCUGAAGCCACUGGGAGCUGUUACAGCCUCUUUAGUGUGUAUUUAUUCUGUAACCCAUAUAUAUAUGGGUAUAUAUAUGUGUAUAUAUAUAUGUGUCAUAUUCACAUAAACAUACACAUAUACAUCAUAUACACAUACCCAUAUAGAGAAGAGAUUGUGUGCUACUGCUAUGGGAGUUAGUAUUUGGAAUAAAGAUCGGAAUAAAGAACUGGCAUUUGCUUCUGCUGAGAUCCGAGAAAAGUAGACAGGUUAUUAUGACAAGUUGCCGUCAUGGAAACUGCUAAACUUUGUGAAUUGAUUGUUACUCACUAGACCCCGACCUUGUGGAAAUGGACGAACGUGUUUGUCUCUGGCAGACACCGGUCCUAUACAACCUUCGAUGGGUGUCCUGAUUUGAAAGCUUGCCAAGUUCCUUUUCCUUAGCUCUUUCCAGUAUCUCUGAGUGAUACCUCGCUAAGGGAGACUGAGGCAGGGAAGGUCGGGGUAAUGGAAUAGAUGUCGUGAAAACAGGAGGGACUGGUAUUUGGAGAAGGAGGGGCAGCAGCAAGAAUGGGGAAAGAAAGUCGAGCAGCACAGGCUGGCCCAACUGUCCCCAUUUGCCACCUAUUCCAAUGGCCGUCCUGGAGGCUUACCCAGGUCCUCCGACAUAUUCGUAAUUGCUAUUUUGAAGUCCUCAUCUCCUGCUUCAGCUGUGAUACAUUUCUUAGGGCCUGCUGCCAUAGGCUUACUGACAUCUGGUGGAGGCAUAUAUAAUGGCUUGGCUGGUCAUGUUUGUGCUUUUGCCUAGGGAUCUAGGCAUCUGUAGUUAUGAGGUUUGAGCUAUUUCUCGGCAUCAUCAGGUCUCAUCUUUGUUGGGUGAGUGUUCUACUCUGUGGUCGCUGUUGCCGUCUCUGGAUCACAGGCAAGUGUGGUGACUGUGGAGGCCCUGGUAGAGAGUGCUUCUGUGGGUGGGUGGGUGGCAGUAGAAAUGGAGAUAGUCAAGGAGGGUCUGUGGGAAAGAGGUAGGAGGACUGAAUUCAUACCUAGAGGGAGAGCCAGGAAGCAGUAGGAGAAAGAAUAAGUCUGAAGAGAAAGGGAUGCAAGGGCUAAGGGGGAGCCUGGGUCACACCAAGAGGUGAAGUCCUCAAUGAAUGGAGUUGGAGUAGAGGAGGGGCUCCUACAAGGAGGAACUUGUUUCAUUUUUUUUAAAGAUGUAUUUAUUAUAUUUAUAUGAGCCCACUGUCGCUGUCUUCAGACACACCAGAAGAGGGCAUCAGAUGCCAUUACAGAUGGUUAUGAGCCACCACGUGGUUGCUGGGAAUUGAACUCAGGACCUCUGGAAGAGCAGUCAGUGCUCUAACCACUGAGCCAUCUCUCCAGCCCCAAGAAUUUGUGUUUUCUUGAUGAUGGCCAUUCUGCCUGGGGUGAGAAGAAAGCUCAAACCAGUUUUAAUUCCCAUUUUCCUGACCACUGAGGAUGUAGAAUGCUUUCUCCAUGUUUAUUCUCCAUUUGUAUUCCUUCUUUUGAAAACCAUCCCGUUCAUUUUAUUUGCCCAUUUAUUGAAUGGACGAUUUUGCUUUGAUGUUUAAUCUCUGCACUUCUUAUGUAUGCGGGAUAGCAGGUUCCCAUGUGAUUUAUAACUGACAAAAAUUUCCUUUUGUCUGCAGGUUGUCUCCAUCCUCCACUGGUUAUUUUCUUUACUGUGCAGAAGCUUUUAAGUUUCAUCUGAUUCCAUUUGUCAAUUCUGAAGCAGUGGAGGCGUUUUUUAUUGUUGUUGUUGUUGUUUUAUUGUUUUCAGUAAGUUCUUGGCUAUACUUGUAUCUUGAAGGUUUUUUCAUGUGCUUUCUUCUAGAACUUUCAAGAUUUCAGGCAUUUCAAUAAAGCUUGGUACUUUGUGUAGGACGAGAAAUAGGGAAUUUUUUUUCACUCCUGUACAUAUGGACAUUCAGUUCUCCCAGUACUAUUUGAAGAGGAUGUCUACCACCAUUGUAUAUUUUUGACAUCUCUGUAAAACUUUAAAUAUCUAUGCUGUGUGGAAUUCUUUUAAUAACACUCGGUUUCUGGUCACUAUGGCUUGGUAGUAUAAUUUGAGAUCAGGUAUUAAUAUCAGCUUUUUCUGCUUGGGAUUGCUUUGUGCUUCUACAUGACUUUUUCAACCGUUUUUUAUUUUGUUCUAGUUCUCUGAAAAAUGUCACUGGAAUGUGUGUGCGACUGUGUAGUGUAAGUGUGCAAAUGUGUGACACCUAUGAAGGUAUAGAAGCCAGAGAUGGAUGUCAGCUGUUCAACACUUAUUGUCCUCCACCUGACCUCUACAUGUAUGAUGUGGCAUGCAUGUAUGUACUCAAACAUACAAGCACACACAAAUAAGAACAAAUAAAAAACAUAUUAAUAAGCUGUCAGAAGACAAUUUGUGGAAAUUGGUUCUCACCUUCCACCACCACCCCCCCCCCCCCAGUUGUCAGGCUUGGUGGCAAAUACCUUUACCUCUAAGCCAUCUCACUGGCUCGGU
This is a non-coding RNA of Rattus norvegicus (Norway rat), 4792 nucleotides long. The record is from RefSeq and is a predicted model, not a curated record. Lineage: Eukaryota; Metazoa; Chordata; Mammalia; Rodentia; Muridae.